GACGAACGCUGGCGGCGUGCUUAACACAUGCAAGUCGAACGAAAAUACCAAGCUUGCUUGGUUGAUUAGUGGCGAACGGGUGAGUAACACGUGAGUAACCUGCCCCUUACUUUCCUGGAUAACUGCUCGAAAGGGUAGCUAAUACGGGAUAUUCUGACUAGCCUGCAUGGGUUGGUUUGGAAAGGUUGUUUUUCUGGUAAGGGAUGGGCUCGCGGCCUAUCAGCUUGUUGGUGGGGUGAUGGCCUACCAAGGCUUUGACGGGUAGCCGGCCUGAGAGGGUGGACGGUCACACUGGGACUGAGAUACGGCCCAGACUCCUACGGGAGGCAGCAGUGGGGAAUAUUGCACAAUGGGCGCAAGCCUGAUGCAGCGACGCCGCGUGAGGGAUGAAGGCCUUCGGGUUGUAAACCUCUUUCGUCAGGGAACAAGGCACUGCUUUGGUGGUGUUGAGGGUACCUGGAUAAGAAGCGCCGGCUAACUACGUGCCAGCAGCCGCGGUAAUACGUAGGGCGCAAGCGUUGUCCGGAAUUAUUGGGCGUAAAGAGCUCGUAGGCGGCUGGUCGCGUCUGUCGUGAAAACUUCCGGCUCAACCGGGGGCUUGCGGUGGGUACGGGCCGGCUAGAGUGCGGUAGGGGUAACUGGAACUCCUGGUGUAGCGGUGGAAUGCGCAGAUAUCAGGAAGAACACCGAUGGCGAAGGCAGGUUACUGGGCCGUUACUGACGCUGAGGAGCGAAAGCGUGGGGAGCGAACAGG
RNAcentral lists this ribosomal RNA (754 nucleotides) under uncultured Actinomyces sp. RNAcentral describes it as "bacterial SSU rRNA". It matches the Rfam family "Bacterial small subunit ribosomal RNA", at positions 28 to 776 of the family's 1533-position model. Lineage: Bacteria; Bacillati; Actinomycetota; Actinomycetes; Actinomycetales; Actinomycetaceae. The record is from RNAcentral.